GUCGGCGUAGAGCCGCCCGGUAGCUCGCCAGCCUCAUAAGCUGGAGGUUGCAGAUUCGAAUCCUGUCGCCGCAACCA
RNAcentral lists this transfer RNA (77 nucleotides) under Ensifer meliloti. Its description in RNAcentral is "Sinorhizobium meliloti tRNA-Met". It matches the Rfam family "tRNA". From Rfam's summary of the family: Transfer RNA (tRNA) molecules are approximately 80 nucleotides in length. Their secondary structure includes four short double-helical elements and three loops (D, anti-codon, and T loops). Lineage: Bacteria; Pseudomonadati; Pseudomonadota; Alphaproteobacteria; Hyphomicrobiales; Rhizobiaceae. The record is from RNAcentral.